UCGGGUGUCGGCUAACGGUAAGCCAGCUGCCUUUGAAGCAGUGGUAUGUAGGUUCGAUUCCUUCCGCCCGUGC
Molecule: transfer RNA, 73 nt
Filed under: Rubripirellula tenax
Lineage: Bacteria; Pseudomonadati; Planctomycetota; Planctomycetia; Pirellulales; Pirellulaceae
Description: Planctomycetes bacterium Poly51 tRNA-Gln
Rfam family: tRNA
About the family: Transfer RNA (tRNA) molecules are approximately 80 nucleotides in length. Their secondary structure includes four short double-helical elements and three loops (D, anti-codon, and T loops).
Source: RNAcentral